GCCGCCUUAGCUCAGUUGGUUAGAGCGCUAGAUUGUGGAUCUAGAGGUCCUUGGUUCGAUCCCAAGAGGCGGUACCA
RNAcentral lists this transfer RNA (77 nucleotides) under Devosia geojensis. RNAcentral describes it as "tRNA-His". It matches the Rfam family "tRNA". From Rfam's summary of the family: Transfer RNA (tRNA) molecules are approximately 80 nucleotides in length. Lineage: Bacteria; Pseudomonadati; Pseudomonadota; Alphaproteobacteria; Hyphomicrobiales; Devosiaceae. The record is from RNAcentral.